AUUGAACGCUGGCGGCAGGCCUAACACAUGCAAGUCGAACGAGUGGCGGACGGGUGAGUAAUGUCUGGGAAACUGCCCGAUGGAGGUGGAUAACUACUGGAAACGGUCGCUAAUACCGCAUACCAUCGGAUGUGCCCAGAGGGGAUUAGCUUGUAGGUGAGGUGACGGCUCACCUAGGCGACGAUCCCUAGCUGGUCUGAGAGGAUGGCCAGACACACUGGAACGGUGACACGGUCGAGAAUCCGACGGGAGGCAGCAGGGGGGAAUAUUGCACAAUGGGAGCAAGCCUGAUGCAGCCAUGGCGCGUGUAUGAAGAAGGCCUUCGGGUUGUAAAGUACUUUCAGCGGGGAGGCGUUACACGCAGAAGAAGCACCGGAUAACGCAGUGCCAGCAGCCGCGGUAAUAC
This 406-nucleotide ribosomal RNA is filed under the name uncultured bacterium. RNAcentral describes it as "partial 16S ribosomal RNA". It matches the Rfam family "Bacterial small subunit ribosomal RNA", at positions 29 to 526 of the family's 1533-position model. The record is from RNAcentral.